RNAcentral lists this ribosomal RNA (504 nucleotides) under uncultured bacterium. RNAcentral describes it as "partial 16S ribosomal RNA". It matches the Rfam family "Bacterial small subunit ribosomal RNA", at positions 30 to 523 of the family's 1533-position model. The record is from RNAcentral.
AUUGAACGCUGGCGGCAUGCCUUACACAUGCAAGUCGAACGGCAGCAUGGAGAGCUUGCUCUCUGAUGGCGAGUGGCGAACGGGUGAGUAAUGCAUCGGAACGUACCGUGUAAUGGGGGAUAACGUAGCGAAAGUUACGCUAAUACCGCAUACGACCUGAGGGUGAAAGCAGGGGAUCGCAAGACCUUGCGUUAUACGAGCGGCCGAUGUCAGAUUAGCUAGUUGGUGAGGUAAAGGCUCACCAAGGCGACGAUCUGUAGCGGGUCUGAGAGGAUGCUCCGCCACACUGGGACUGAGAAACGGCACAGACUCCUACGGGAGGCAGCAGUGGGGAAUUUUGGACAAUGGGGGCAACCCUGAUCCAGCCAUGCCGCGUGAGUGAAGAAGGCCUUCGGGUUGUAAAGCUCUUUCGGCCGGGAAGAAAUCGCACAGGCUAAUACUCUGUGUGGAUGACGGUACCGGCAUAAGAAGCACCGGCUAACUACGUGCCAGCCGCCGCCGUAA